This 486-nucleotide ribosomal RNA is filed under the name uncultured bacterium. RNAcentral's name for it is "bacterial SSU rRNA". It matches the Rfam family "Bacterial small subunit ribosomal RNA", at positions 27 to 507 of the family's 1533-position model. The record is from RNAcentral.
CGAUUGAACGCUGGCGGAAUGCUUUACACAUGCAAGUCGAACGGGCAGCACGGGGCGAACCUGGUGGCGAGUGGCGAACGGGUGAGUAAUACAUCGGAACGUGCCCAAUCGUGGGGGAUAACGUAGCGAAAGUUACGCUAAUACCGCAUACGAUCUACGGAUGAAAGCGGGGGAUCGCAAGACCUCGCGCGAAUGGAGCGGCCGAUGUCAGAUUAGGUAGUUGGUGGGGUAAAGGCUCACCAAGCCAACGAUCUGUAGCUGGUCUGAGAGGACGACCAGCCACACUGGAACUGAGACACGGUCCAGACUCCUACGGGAGGCAGCAGUGGGGAAUUUUGGACAAUGGGCGCAAGCCUGAUCCAGCCAUUCCGCGUGCAGGAUGAAGGCCUUCGGGUUGUAAACUGCUUUUGUACGGAACGAAACGGUGAGCUCUAAUAAAGCUUGCUAAUGACGGUACCGUAAGAAUAAGCACCGGCUAACUACGUG